GUAGGUGGCAAGCGUUGUCCGGAAUUAUUGGGCGUAAAGCGCGCGCAGGCGGUCCUUUAAGUCUGAUGUGAAAGCCCACGGCUCAACCGUGGAGGGUCAUUGGAAACUGGGGGACUUGAGUACAGAAGAGGAAAGCGGAAUUCCACGUGUAGCGGUGAAAUGCGUAGAGAUGUGGAGGAACACCAGUGGCGAAGGCGGCUUUCUGGUCUGUAACUGACGCUGAGGCGCGAAAGCGUGGGGAGCAAACAGGGAUUAGAUACCCUGGUAGUCCACGCCGUAAACGAUGAGUGCUAAGUGUUAGGGGGUUUCCGCCCCCUUAGUGCUGCAGCUAACGCAUUAAGCACUCCGCCUGGGGAUACGGCCGCAAGGCUG
This 372-nucleotide ribosomal RNA is filed under the name uncultured organism. RNAcentral describes it as "partial 16S ribosomal RNA". It matches the Rfam family "Bacterial small subunit ribosomal RNA", at positions 527 to 896 of the family's 1533-position model. The record is from RNAcentral.